AUUGAACGCUGGCGGCAUGCCUUACACAUGCAAGUCGAACGGCAGCACGGGUGCUUGCACCUGGUGGCGAGUGGCGAACGGGUGAGUAAUACAUCGGAACAUGUCCUGUAGUGGGGGAUAGCCCGGCGAAAGCCGGAUUAAUACCGCAUACGAUAUACGGAUGAAAGCGGGGGACCUUCGGGCCUCGCGCUUUCGGGUUGGCCGAUGGCGGAUUAGCUAGUUGGUGUGGUAAAGGCCUACCAAGGCGACGAGCCGUAGCUGGUCUGAGAGGACGACCAGCCACACUGGGAGUGAGACACGGCCCAGACUCCUACGGGAGGCAGCAGUGGGGAAUUUUGGACAAUGGGCGAAAGCCUGAUCCAGCAAUGCCGCGUGUGUGAAGAAGGCCUUCGGGUUGUAAAGCACUUUUGUCCGGAAAGAAAUCCUUGGCCCUAAUACGGUCGGGGGAUGACGGUACCGGAAGAAUAAGCACCGGCUAACUACGUG
Molecule: ribosomal RNA, 486 nt
Filed under: uncultured bacterium
Lineage: Bacteria
Description: partial 16S ribosomal RNA
Rfam family: Bacterial small subunit ribosomal RNA
Source: RNAcentral